GCACAAGCAGCGGAGCGUGUGGUUAAUUCGAUGCUACACGAAGAACCUUACCUGGAUUUGACAUGCACGUAGUAGUGAACCGAAGGGAACGAGCCUUCGGGCAGCGUGCACAGGUGCUGCAUGGCUGUCGUCAGCUCGUGCCGUGAGGUGUUGGGUUAAGUCCCGCAACGAGCGCAACCCUCGUCGCUAGUUACAUGUGUCUAGCGAGACUGCCAGGUUAACCCUGGAGGAAGGUGGGGAUGACGUCAAGUCAGCAUGGCCUUUAUGUCCAGGGCUACACACACGCUACAAUGGUCGGUACAAUGGGAUGCCAAGCCGCGAGGCGGAGCAAAUCCUCAAAGCCGGCCUCAGUUCGGAUUGCAGGCUGCAAUUCGCCUGCAUGAAGUCGGAAUCGCUAGUAAUCGCAGGUCAGCAUACUGCGGUGAAUACGUUCCCGGGCCUU
This 442-nucleotide ribosomal RNA is filed under the name uncultured Caldilineaceae bacterium. Its description in RNAcentral is "bacterial SSU rRNA". It matches the Rfam family "Bacterial small subunit ribosomal RNA", at positions 923 to 1382 of the family's 1533-position model. The record is from RNAcentral. Lineage: Bacteria; Bacillati; Chloroflexota; Caldilineae; Caldilineales; Caldilineaceae.